GAAGGCCCAGACCUCUCGACGAACCAAUUGCAUCCAUUGAUACUCUAUGCAACCCUAAUUUAUUCUUUAAUAACUGAAAAUUCCUCCAGAUAACAUGGGUUUCAAUAGGAAAACGAGUAGGGGAUUAUUGUCUCGGAUGAGAUCGCCAAGAUUACAAACAGUCCAAGAACUCCUUAGCUCUCGACAAUUCCAUAAUACGCCAUUCAUAGCGACUAACGGAACUACCCCUGAACCGCCGUCGCCGGACUAAGAAAACUCGCCACUUCAGGUCUGGGACAAAUCCUAGCGGUGCAAUCGCCACAAUAAAGCAACUAGAAAAACUUGUGCUGAAGGUGUCAAUGAAAGGUUUGUUGGAAAAUGAUGAAUUACAAUCAAAGGACUUCCCAAACUCAUAAGUGUUUCACAUGUUGAUGGGCUUAGUGCAAAUUUUAUUAGCAUAAGUCAAUUAUGAGAAAAAAAUUUAUUAGCAUAAGUCAAUUACAUGUUAAAUUUGAAAAAAAAAUUCUUGUUAUGUGUUUUAUAACUCUAAGCCUUGUAUUUUAGCAGCCAUAAGAUCCAUAACAAUUGUUAUCAAAUUGGUGGCAAUCAAGUGUGUAAAAGCACACGCUUGAGUGAAAUCGAAUUAUGGCAUCAAAAGUUAGGCCAUGUAGAUUUCAUGAAUUUACAGAGGCUGAUCAAAUAUGAAGUUGCAAAAGGGGUUCCAAAAGUGGACAGUAAGAACACAUUUGGUUGUGAUUGGUGCCAACAAGGUAAACAGACGUGUAACAUGUUACGACACUUUGGCACACACCAAUAUUUUGUACUUCUGCACAUGAUUAUUAUGGGUCCGAUUGAUUUUAUGAGCCUUGGUGGUAAUAUGUAC
This 862-nucleotide long non-coding RNA is filed under the name Erythranthe guttata (spotted monkey flower). RNAcentral's name for it is "long non-coding RNA (EGUT_LNC002731)". Lineage: Eukaryota; Viridiplantae; Streptophyta; Magnoliopsida; Lamiales; Phrymaceae. The record is from RNAcentral.